AGCACUUGUGUGUGUGUCUUUGUUUAGUUUUGUAACAAAGCCUUACAGACAGGCGCAAACAGUAAAGCCUCUUUUGCAGCCCAAAACUCAUUGUUGAAUAUGAGUAUGAAAGGAUGAAAGGAGUAUG
Perognathus longimembris pacificus (Pacific pocket mouse) is the source of this 127-nucleotide small nucleolar RNA. RefSeq annotates it as small nucleolar RNA SNORA40. NCBI's taxonomy places the organism in Eukaryota, Metazoa, Chordata, Mammalia, Rodentia, Heteromyidae. The record is from RefSeq and is a predicted model, not a curated record. The transcript has a single exon.